AGGAAAGUCGCCGCAAGCUCCCGCUCUAGGAUGGGAAAGCGCCCCAUAAGCUACAUUCGGGUGUAGAGUUCCUCACAUAUCAACGCAGUACAUCGUUCCAGAGUCAGUUCAGCCACACUCUAGCUUAGACACGUCACCGAGUCUUGAGGGAGGCUCCUCUGUGGAGUUUUGGGCAAUCACAGAACACUUUCCGGAGCGCCUCCGAGCUUGGUAAGAACACCUAUUCGUAAUAAAACAUGGUCAGUGUGAAAGAGGGGGGUUGGUGGCAAACACAUAGGCAUUCGUUGGUACCAGGAGAGGAAGCCCCGGCCCACUGUUUGCCAGCAGCCGCGGUAAGACAGAGGGGGCCAGCGUUGCUCCGAAUUACUGGGCGUAAAGGGGGCGUAGGCGGGAUGGUAAGUUGGUCGUGAAAUCCCUCGGCUCAACCUAGGAACAGCGAUCGAUACCAGCGAUCUUGAGCAUGGCAGAGGAGACCGGAAUUCCCGGUGCAGCGGUGAAAUGUGUAGAGAUCGGGAGGAACACCGGUGGCGAAGGCGGCUUUAUGGGCAAAUCCUGACGUCGAGGCGCGAAAUCCUGGGGAGCAAACGGGAUUACAUACCCCGGUAGUCCACACCGGCAACGAUGAGCGCUAGGUGUGGGGGGGUUCAGUCCCUCCCGUGCCGCAGCUAACGCAUUAAGCGUUCCGCCUGGGGAGUACGGUCGCAAGGCUGAAACUCAAAUGAAAUGACG
This 729-nucleotide ribosomal RNA is filed under the name uncultured bacterium. RNAcentral describes it as "bacterial SSU rRNA". It matches the Rfam family "Bacterial small subunit ribosomal RNA", at positions 202 to 915 of the family's 1533-position model. The record is from RNAcentral.